GAGCGGCGGCGCGAGUGCGGCGCGCGGGUGCGUGUGCAAGGGGGCGCGUGUGCAAGCGGGGGUGGUGUGCGUGGAAGGGGGCGCGUGUGCGUGUGCAAGGGCGUGCGAGGGCGCCGCUCCUCCCCUACACAUUGAUCUUAUUUGAUCGGGGGGGGCCGCCCCCCCCGGCGUGAGAAGACCCCUCCUGCGAAGCCCCCCGCGGGCGCUGUGCAGCGAGGCCGCCUCGGCGGCGCGGACGUGAUGAGUCGAUCAGAUAGACGAGGCCGGAGCCCGGCCCGCCCGGGCCCGGCCCCUGAGUACGAGGCGAUUCUGAUCCGC
Rhea pennata is the source of this 318-nucleotide non-coding RNA. RefSeq annotates it as small Cajal body-specific RNA 2. Lineage: Eukaryota; Metazoa; Chordata; Aves; Rheiformes; Rheidae. The record is from RefSeq and is a predicted model, not a curated record. The transcript has a single exon.